Molecule: ribosomal RNA, 492 nt
Filed under: uncultured bacterium
Lineage: Bacteria
Description: partial 16S ribosomal RNA
Rfam family: Bacterial small subunit ribosomal RNA
Source: RNAcentral
AGUGAACGCUGGCGGUAGGCCUAACACAUGCAAGUCGAACGGCAGCACAGUAAGAGCUUGCUCUUACGGGUGGCGAGUGGCGGACGGGUGAGGAAUACAUCUGAAUCUACUUUUUCGUGGGGGAUAACGUAGGGAAACUUACGCUAAUACCGCAUACGACCUACGGGUGAAAGCAGGGGAUCUUCGGACCUUGCGCGAUUGAAUGAGCCGAUGUCUGAUUAGCUAGUUGGCGGGGUCAAGGCCCACCAAGGCGACGAUCCGUAGCUGGUCUGAGAGGAUGAUCAGACACACUGGAACUGAGACAAGGUACAGACUCCUAAGGGAGGCAGCAGUGGGGAAUAUUGAACAAUGGGAGCAAGACUGAUCCAGCCAUACCGCGUGGGUGAGGAAGGCCUUCGGGUUGUAAAGCACUUUUGUUGGGAAAGAAAAGAAGAAGGUUAAUACCCAGCUGUUCUGAAGGUACAAAAAGAAGAAGCACAGGCUAACUUCGUG